CACCGCGGUUAUACGAGAGGCUCAAGUUGACAGACAACGGCGUAAAGAGUGGUUAAGGAACUUACUAAACUAAAGCCGAACGCCCUCAGAACUGUUAUACGUUUCCGAAGGUAAGAAGCCCCACCACGAAAGUGACUUUACUUCUCCCGACCCCACGAAAGCUGCGGAACAAACUGGGAUUAGAUACCCCAUUAUGCCCAGCCCUAAACUUUGAUAGAUAAUUACACCCACUAUCCGCCAGGGUACUACGAGCAUUAGCUUAAAACCCAAAGGACUUGGCGGUGCUUUACAUCCACCUAGAGGAGCCUGUUCUAGAACCGAUAACCCCCGUUAAACCUCACCCUCCCUUGUUUUUUCCGCCUAUAUACCGCCGUCGUCAGCUUACCCUGUGAAGGACUAAUAGUAAGCAAAAUUGGUAAAACCCAAAACGCCAGGUCGAGGUGUAGCGAAUGAGAGGGGAAGAAAUGGGCUACAUUUCCUAAGCCAGGAAACACGGAUAGUGUACUGAAACGUACAUUAGAAGGAGGAUUUAGCAGUAAGCAGAAAAUAGAGCGUUCCGCUGAAACUGGCCCUGAAGCGCGCACACACCGCCCGUCACUCUCCCCGAGCUAAUAUGAACACAUACUUAAAAACCAACACCUGCAAAGGGGAGGCAAGUCGUAA
RNAcentral lists this ribosomal RNA (663 nucleotides) under Abudefduf vaigiensis (Indo-Pacific sergeant). RNAcentral's name for it is "partial 12S ribosomal RNA". It matches the Rfam family "Bacterial small subunit ribosomal RNA", at positions 513 to 1491 of the family's 1533-position model. Lineage: Eukaryota; Metazoa; Chordata; Actinopteri; Pomacentridae. The record is from RNAcentral.